CGACGCUGGCGGCGUGCCUAAUACAUGCAAGUCGAACGAUGAAGCUUCUAGCUUGCUAGAGUGCUGAUUAGUGGCGCACGGGUGAGUAACGCAUAGGUCAUGUGCCUCUUAGUUUGGGAUAGCCAUUGGAAACGAUGAUUAAUACCAGAUACUCCCUACGGGGGAAAGAUUUAUCGCUAAGAGAUCAGCCUAUGUCCUAUCAGCUUGUUGGUAAGGUAAUGGCUUACCAAGGCUAUGACGGGUAUCCGGCCUGAGAGGGUGAACGGACACACUGGAACUGAGACACGGUCCAGACUCCUACGGGAGGCAGCAGUAGGGAAUAUUGCUCAAUGGGGGAAACCCUGAAGCAGCAACGCCGCGUGGAGGAUGAAGGUUUUAGGAUUGUAAACUCCUUUUGUUAGAGAAGAUAAUGACGGUAUCUAACGAAUAAGCACCGGCUAACUCCGUGCCAGCAGCCGCGGUAAUACGGAGGGUGCAAGCGUUACUCGGAAUCACUGGGCGUAAAGAGCGCGUAGGCGGGAUAGUCAGUCAGGUGUGAAAUCCUAUGGCUUAACCAUAGAACUGCAUUUGAAACUACUAUUCUAGAGUGUGGGAGAGGUAGGUGGAAUUCUUGGUGUAGGGGUAAAAUCCGUAGAGAUCAAGAGGAAUACUCAUUGCGAAGGCGACCUGCUGGAACAUUACUGACGCUGAUUGCGCGAAAGCGUGGGGAGCAAACAGGAUUAGAUACCCUGGUAGUCCACGCCCUAAACGAUGGAUGCUAGUUGUUGGAGGGCUUAGUCUCUCCAGUAAUGCAGCUAACGCAUUAAGCAUCCCGCGUGGGGAGUACGGUCGCAAGAUUAAAACUCAAAGGAAUAGACGGGGACCCGCACAAGCGGUGGAGCAUGUGGUUUAAUUCGAGGAUACACGAAGAACCUUACCUAGGCUUGACAUUGAGAGAAUCCGCUAGAAAUAGUGGAGUGUCUAGCUUGCUAGACCUUGAAAACAGGUGCUGCACGGCUGUCGUCAGCUCGUGUCGUGAGAUGUUGGGUUAAGUCCCGCAACGAGCGCAACCCCCUUUCUUAGUUGCUAACAGGUCAUGCUGAGAACUCUAAGGAUACUGCCUCUGUAAGGAGGAGGAAGGUGGGGACGACGUCAAGUCAUCAUGGCCCUUACGCCUAGGGCUACACACGUGCUACAAUGGGGUGCACAAAGAGAAGCAAUACUGCGAAGUGGAGCCAAUCUUCAAAACGCCUCUCAGUUCGGAUUGUAGGCUGCAACUCGCCUGCAUGAAGCUGGAAUCGCUAGUAAUCGCAAAUCAGCCAUGUUGCGGUGAAUACGUUCCCGGGUCUUGUACUCACCGCCCGUCACACCAUGGGAGUUGUGUUUGCCUUAAGUCAGGAUGCUAAAUUAGCUACUGCCCACGGCACACACA
RNAcentral lists this ribosomal RNA (1411 nucleotides) under Helicobacter pylori. RNAcentral describes it as "bacterial SSU rRNA". It matches the Rfam family "Bacterial small subunit ribosomal RNA". Lineage: Bacteria; Pseudomonadati; Campylobacterota; Epsilonproteobacteria; Campylobacterales; Helicobacteraceae. The record is from RNAcentral.